UACGUAGGUGGCAAGCGUUACUCGGAAUCACUAGGCGUAAAGCGCAGGUAGGCGGUUUGGUAAGUCUAUUGUGAAAGCUCCCGGCUUAACUGGGAGAGGUCAAUGGAAACUACCAGGCUGGAGUGCGGUAGAGGUAGCUGGAAUUCCCGGUGUAGCGGUGAAAUGCGUAGAUAUCGGGAGGAAUACCUAUGGCGAAAGCAGGCUACUGGACCGUCACUGACUCUGAUCUGCGAAAGCUAGGGGAGCAAACAGG
RNAcentral lists this ribosomal RNA (253 nucleotides) under uncultured bacterium. RNAcentral describes it as "partial 16S ribosomal RNA". It matches the Rfam family "Bacterial small subunit ribosomal RNA", at positions 524 to 776 of the family's 1533-position model. The record is from RNAcentral.